This 497-nucleotide ribosomal RNA is filed under the name uncultured bacterium. RNAcentral's name for it is "partial 16S ribosomal RNA". It matches the Rfam family "Bacterial small subunit ribosomal RNA", at positions 28 to 507 of the family's 1533-position model. The record is from RNAcentral.
GAUGAACGCUGGCGGCGUGCCUAAUACAUGCCAGUCGAGCGAACAGACGCGGAGCUUGCUCCUCUGACGUUAGCGGCGGACGGGUGAGUAACACGUGGAUAACCUCCCUAUCAGACUGGGAUCACUUCGGGACACCGGAGCUAAUCCCGGAUAAUAUAUUGCACCGCAUGGUUCAAUAGUGAAAGACGGUUUUGCUGUCACUUCUAGAUGGAUCCGCGCCGCAUUAGCUAGUUGGUAAGGUAACGGGUUACCAAGGCAACGAUGCGUAGCCGACCUGUGAGGGUGAUCGGCCACACUGGAGCUGAGACACGGUCCAGGCGCCUACGGGAGGCAGCAGUAGGGAAUCGGCCGCAAUGGGCGAAAGCCUGACGGAGCAACGCCGCGUGUGUGAUGAAGGUCUUCGGUUCGUAAAACUCUGUUAUUAGUGAAGAACAAAUGUGUAAUGAACUAUGCACGGCGUGACGGUACCUAGUCAGAAAGCCACGGCUAACUACGUG